CCUUAGAUCGUACCCACAUUUACUUGGAUAACUGUGGUAAUUCUAGAGCUAAUACAUGCAAACCAGAGUUCCGACCAGAGAUGGAAGGAACGCUUUUAUUAGAUCAAAACCAAUCGGUGGCUGGCUCGCCAGUCCAUCGUUUACUUUGGUGACUCUGAAUAACUUUGUGCUGAUCGCAUGGUCUCGCACCGGCGACGCAUCUUUCAAAUGUCUGCCUUAUCAACUGUCGAUGGUAGGUUCUGCGCCUACCAUGGUUGUAACGGGUAACGGGGAAUCAGGGUUCGAUUCCGGAGAGGGAGCCUGAGAAACGGCUACCACAUCCAAGGAAGGCAGCAGGCGCGCAAAUUACCCACUCCCGGCACGGGGAGGUAGUGACGAAAAA
This 382-nucleotide ribosomal RNA is filed under the name Elachertus sp. D1580. RNAcentral describes it as "SSU rRNA". It matches the Rfam family "Eukaryotic small subunit ribosomal RNA", at positions 118 to 477 of the family's 1831-position model. The record is from RNAcentral. Lineage: Eukaryota; Metazoa; Arthropoda; Insecta; Hymenoptera; Eulophidae.